CAGCUUGUUGGUGGGGUAACGGCUCACCAAGGCGACGAUCCGUAGCUGGUCUGAGAGGACGAUCAGCCACACUGGGACUGAGACACGGCCCAGACUCCUACGGGAGGCAGCAGUGGGGAAUCUUGCGCUAAUGCGGGAAACCGUGACGCAGCGACGCCGCGUGAGGGAAGAAGGCCUUCGGGUUGUAAACCUCUUUCAGGAGGGACGAAGCCACUCGGGUUAAUAGCCCAGAGGGUGACGGUACCUCCAGAAGAAGCCCCGGCUAACUACGUGCCAGCAGCCGCGGUAAUACGUAGGGGGCAAGCGUUGUCCGGAUUUAUUGGGCGUAAAGAGCGUGUAGGCGGCUAGGUAGGUCCGUUGUGAAAACUCGAGGCUCAACCUCGAGACGUCGAUGGAAACCAUCUAGCUAGAGUCCGGAAGAGGAGAGUGGAAUUCCUGGUGUAGCGGUGAAAUGCGCAGAUAUCAGGAAGAACACCCGUGGCGAAGGCGGCUCUCUGGUACGUGACUGACGCUGAGACGCGAAAGCGUGGGGAGCAAACAGGAUUG
This 546-nucleotide ribosomal RNA is filed under the name uncultured Actinomycetes bacterium. Its description in RNAcentral is "SSU rRNA". It matches the Rfam family "Bacterial small subunit ribosomal RNA", at positions 242 to 780 of the family's 1533-position model. Lineage: Bacteria; Bacillati; Actinomycetota; Actinomycetes. The record is from RNAcentral.